AUGUAUUACCAAGUUGAGCAAAUCAUGAGUAUAUUGAUGCUGGGAGCCAGAAUUCUCACUGUGGAAGAAGGAAUAUGCCAACAUGGAACAGGAGAAAGCAGCCUUUUCCCCCCUCGCCAAUCAAACCCGCUGUUAUUGAAAACCAUGUGGCAGAGGAAACUAGAUCUGAUUUUUCGCCCAGAGGGACGUGGAGAAAGCGCCAGGCUCCAAAACCUAUGCCGCCACCUGGGUGACCUUGGACGAGUCGGCUGACCUCUGCCAGUCUCAGUGUCCUCACUUCCACAAGCUGGAGGUGACCUCUG
This is a long non-coding RNA of Ochotona princeps (American pika), 302 nucleotides long. RefSeq lists it as uncharacterized. The transcript is spliced from 3 exons. NCBI's taxonomy places the organism in Eukaryota, Metazoa, Chordata, Mammalia, Lagomorpha, Ochotonidae. The record is from RefSeq and is a predicted model, not a curated record.